AAUAGAUACCCGGGUAGUCCUUGCCUUAAACGAUGCAUACUAGGUGUAGGAGGGCUCAACCCUUUCUGUGCCGGAGCUAACGCAUUAAGUAUGCCGCCUGGGGAGUACGCUCGCAAGGGUGAAACUCAAAAGAAUUGACGGGGGCCCGCACAAGCAGUGGAGCAUGUGGUUUAAUUCGAUGCAACGCGAAGAACCUUACCUGGGCUCGAAAUGUAGAGGACGAUAUCAGAGAUGAUAUUUCUCGAAAGGGUCUCUAUAUAGGUGCUGCAUGGCUGUCGUCAGCUCGUGCCGUGAGGUGUUUGGUUAGGUCCAGCAACGAGCGCAACCCUUAUCGUUAGUUGCCAACGCGUGAAGGCGGGAACUCUAACGAGACUGCCUGGGUUAACCAGGAGGAAGGUGAGGAUGACGUCAAGUCCGCAUGGCCUUUAUGUCCAGGGCUACACACGUGCUACAAUGGUCGGUACAGAAGGCAGCAAAACCGUAAGGCGGAGCAAAUCCUCAAAACCGAUCUCAGUUCAGA
RNAcentral lists this ribosomal RNA (520 nucleotides) under uncultured bacterium. RNAcentral describes it as "bacterial SSU rRNA". It matches the Rfam family "Bacterial small subunit ribosomal RNA", at positions 777 to 1297 of the family's 1533-position model. The record is from RNAcentral.